Molecule: non-coding RNA, 5290 nt
Organism: Phalacrocorax carbo (great cormorant)
Lineage: Eukaryota; Metazoa; Chordata; Aves; Suliformes; Phalacrocoracidae
Source: RefSeq, a predicted model, not a curated record
CCUCCCUCUCUUCUUCCCUCCCUCCCUCUCUCCUUCCCUCGCUGCCGCCGCCGGAGCGGAACCGAAAGCGAAGGCGGCGCCGGGCGGCGGCGCUCCGGCCCCGCGGGCGGCUGCGGGGGCUGCGGGGCCGGUCCGUGCUGCCGGCGGAGCGGCGCGGAGCGGGGCGGCGCGUCACGUCCCGCCAGGUUCAGGAACCUGAUUUUUGCACAGAAGGCAGUAGGGAGCCCAGGGCAAGGAAGAGAAAUCGCUGGCAAUGACAGGCUGUGGGAAGAGGCAGUGAGCUGGGGGGGCUGAUCCUGCACCCUGCGCUUGGUGUGCCUCCCUGUCGCAGCGUGGCCGGGAUGAGGCCGUCGGUCACACCAUGCCAUCAUGCGUCCCCAGCACCUCGCCUGCCCCAUGGCCCCUCUGCUGUGACGGAGGCUGUGGCUGCCGAGUGCCUGGGGCGCCGUGGGACCCCCUGGCGCUGAGCCCCCGCUGCCGCGGCAUGGCCUCGCUCAUCGUGGUGACUGAAUACGACGCAACGGGGAGUGCGAGCGAGGAGGAGAUGAACACGCCCAGCAGUGAGGGUUUUGGGGACGGCCGGGAGCCGAGGGCGAAGCUGCACCUCUCUGGCCGAAAGCUCUCCCUGCAGGAGCGGUCGCAGCCUGCCCGCUCGCCCGGGAAUGGCGACGGCGCUAACGAACGCUUCAUCUACCCAUCCCUCCCUUACUCUCCGGUGACAUCUCCGCACUCCUCCCCACGGCUGCCGCGGCGGCCAACAGUGGAGUCAAACCGCGUGUCCAUCACAGGACUACAGGACUGUGUGCAGCUCAACCAGUACAAGCUGAAGGAUGAAAUUGGGAAGGGCUCCUACGGGGUGGUGAAGCUGGCCUACAACGAGGACGAUAACACCUACUAUGCAAUGAAGGUUCUCUCCAAAAAGAAGCUGAUGAGACAGGCAGGCUUCCCCCGUCGUCCGCCACCCCGCGGGGCCAAAACUGCCUCUGAGGGCUGCCUGCAGCCCAAAGGGCCCAUUGAACAGGUCUACCAGGAGAUCGCCAUCCUGAAGAAGCUGGACCACCCCAAUGUGGUGAAGCUGGUGGAGGUCCUGGAUGACCCCAGUGAGGACCACCUGUACAUGGUGUUUGAACUGGUGAAGCAAGGCCCCGUGAUGGAAAUCCCAACUCUGAAACCUCUCAGUGAGGAUCAGGCUCGGUUCUACUUCCAGGAUCUGAUCAAGGGCAUUGAAUACUUGCACUAUCAAAAGAUAAUCCACCGGGAUAUUAAACCUUCCAACCUCCUUGUGGGGGAAGACGGGCACGUCAAGAUAGCCGACUUUGGAGUGAGCAAUGAGUUCAAGGGAGCCGAUGCCCUCUUAACCAACACAGUGGGGACCCCCGCCUUCAUGGCUCCAGAAACACUCUCAGAAACCAGGAAAAUCUUCUCUGGAAAGGCUUUGGAUGUCUGGGCCAUGGGGAUCACGCUGUACUGCUUCGUGUUUGGGCAGUGCCCUUUUAUGGAUGAAAGGAUCCUGAGUUUACACAAUAAAAUCAAGACCCAAACAUUGGAGUUCCCAGACCAGCCAGAAGUUACAGAUUUCUUGAAGGAUUUGAUUGCACGGAUGCUGGACAAAAAUCCCGAGUCUAGGAUUUCGGUCCCAGAAAUCAAGUUGCACCCUUGGGUCACCAAGAAUGGAGUGGAGCUGCUGCCCACAGAGGAUGAGAACUGCACCCUUGUCGAGGUGACGGAGGAGGAGGUGGAGAAUUCGGUCAAGCACAUCCCCAGCCUGGCCACUGUGGUUCUCACACCUAGCGUGGCUCUCAUCUGCAUGUUCAGUUGUUGCACCAUGGGUUUCAGAUCUUGGUUAAAACGAUGAUCCGGAAGCGAUCCUUUGGGAACCCUUUCGAGGGAAGCAGGAGGGAGGAGCGGUCGUUGUCUGCCCCCGGGAACCUGCUGCCCAGGAAACAAGGCAGUGAAGAUAACCUGAAAUGCAAUGACUUGCCUGACGUUGGAGAGGAGGAACUUCUUUCGUGAACAACGACUUUAUGGUUCUGUUGAGCAACUUGGUCUGGGGCACGUUAUUAAAGUGUGCGGCUGAGGAUGAGCGACAUUAACAGAGCCUACACCAAACACAGCAUGACACGGCGCUAUUUCAGUAUAAUGCUGGAUGUAGAGCUUACAUAGCAGCAUGUUAUAAGACAUCCGACUACUUGUCAUAAACAUUGACAUCUCUGAUCGCUUGGACUGCUGACUUCUUGUGGGAAAGGUGCUGGCUGAUAGCAGAGAGGUGAGCUAUUCUGUUGAGCAGCAACAGUGCUUGGCAAAAAAAAAAAGAAAAGAGAAAAAAAAGCAGUCAAAAAUGCAUUUGGAACUACUUUUACCUGGUUUUAAUGCCAAACAAUUUCUGGGGACUGACGCCAGCAUCCCAGGUGUGUUGUAUGCCCAUCGCGUAGUCGGUGGGCACACGCAGAAGGGUGAAGCUUUUGCCAAGUGGCAUACACAACAGUAAAACUACACAAGCGCACUUUGAGAGUUCACAACCUACCAGAAAUGUUGUUGCAUCUAUUUCUUGUCGUUCUGGUUUGUUUUUAAUUGACACCUUUUUAACCGCAUGGGAACAAAGCAAAAACCCACCUUUUCAGCUUUUUAAAGAAUGCCUACCUUUGUGAGCCAAGUUGUAUUAAACAGCAUCUUUGGGACAUUCAGAAAGUGAAGUUAAUUACCUCCUAAGGUAAUUAAUGCCUUUCCUAAUGUCUUGGUGUGACUAGCACUUGGUAAGUUGAGUAUUCAGUGUAUGAAAGGAAAAGGUAUUUAAGGGCUUAAGUUCAGUCUGAACUAUUUUUGCUGCAGACACACGAGUGAAAGGUAGUGUUUAGCUGAAUGUUUGUUUUGAACAGCAGAGGAAGCACUAACAAUAGUUUGUUUCUAAAUCUUUUACUUGAUCUAGGUAGAUAUAUUAUUAAAUAUAAAAUUCAGGGUAAAAUCCUUCACUUCCAUGUACAUUACAUGGUUUACUACAAUUAAAAAUAAUACAACUUAUGCUAUUUUUUAAGUAUAGACUUAGGGCUUGCUUAGAAUUUAAGAUCUUAAUUAAAUAUUUAGAUUAGCUAGUAAUUUUCAAAGAAACUUUUGUUUUCCAAACUCUUAAUCUGGAUUUUUGGGGCCAAUGCUAUGUAUUUUUUGCAAGUUCAUUACCAGUAAUUUGUGAAUGCCUGUGGAUCAGAGGCUUGUUAGUAAAUUAAGUGUAUACCUAAUUCAUGGAUUGUUUCUUACGAAGAGCACUUUCGCCUUCAGUCAGAUUACUCUGAUCAUUUUGUGGUGCUUGUAAAAAAAAAAAAAAAAAAAAAAAAUCUAUCAUGUGGUGGGAGAGAUUCUGACGCCCAGACUCACUUUCCCAAGUUCUCUGUGCUUGGACAAAGCUGGAGAGUGGCAGCAUGUGGGUGAGCUGGAAAAGAGUCAGGGUUUUUUGGGGAAAGGGAUCACGGUAAGUACAGUUGUUUUGUGGAUGGAGUGUGGGACUGGGGAGUAAAAGGGCUGACUUCUCUGUCUGAUGUGGUUGUGUGACCUUGAAGGAGGCAUUUAAAAUGAUGGCGUACCUGAAAGAGGGGAGGAUUCGAAUGGCCCAAGCAUGCAAGGGACAGCUGAGGUGUAAUUCUUUGUCCUGAGGAAGAAGGCACUAGGAGAGACCUGAGUAUUUCGGUUAAUGGUAAGGUCUCUGUCUGCUAACCAUGGCCAGGUGUGCCCUGCCUUUAGGAAGCAACUCUCCCCUUGUCUUCCUUGAUUUUGGGCACUACAAGCAGUAGAGCGCUGAGGUCCUUGGCCCUACUGACAGUCAGACCUGGCCUGGUAAUUCCUGCUUAGGACGGGUCUUUGUUAAAGCUGGUGUAGUGUUCGCAAGUGUGCAGGUGCCUACACAAACUGUCCCUUAUAUCUUUCAAUCAUUUGAAGCAACCCUCCCCCUAAAUCGCAAUUUAUUACUACAACAUUGUGCUGCUGGCCUCUCUCCAAAGCCAGCGAUGGUGGUUCAUGGUUUAGGAGUGGUACUACGGAGUUUGGAGCCAUAAGACACGCACUGUUUUCCUCCCAUUUUAGUCCAAGGCUAUGCCAAAGCCCUGCAGCUUCAGCUAUAGGAAAACCAAACAGGUAACUUGGGUGCCAGCACUACUACAGCUGCCUGCUCCCCCUUUCCUAAACAGGACUUUUCAUUGCGGAACUGCCUGCGAGUGGGCAGCUCGGUUCUCUGACCUUGUAAAUGGACUUAUUCUGCAAAAAAAAAAAAAAAAAAGAGGGGAUCUGAUUAUUUAUAGCUGGUGUGUAGUCACGUUUGUGGUGUGCUUUGUUAAAGGUGAGUUGUAGAGAUGCUCUGUGCUGCAUAUCUCCGGUGUGUGAUUUGUCAGAUGCCGAGCGAGGCAGUUUACAUUUACCGAACAGGCUUGCCAGGUGCAACACGGCUUCUGAACAGAAUAAGCUGUGCCAGUUCCUCGUUGCCCAGCCACAUAGUUGCUGGGCCUCAGAUAUUACCAUAGAUCAGUGUCUUACAGCUAGCAUGGGCUUGGUUCGUAAGCAUCCUAAAGCUCAGAGCUUCCCUAAGGUGCUCUCCAAAGUGCUUUGGAGAGCCAGCUCCAGCAGGGCUGCAGCAAAAUGCACAUUUCUCAAAAAAACUCAAUGUAGAUUUUUCUUGUUGAUUAGUUCUGUUGAAAGCAUAAAGAGUGGCUGUGUGAGGAAGAUCUAGCUAAAUGCAUGACCUGAUAGAGAAGCUGUACUAUAUAUAUAAAUCUGCUCAGUUCCCUAGCGGCUGUUCCUUAGUGGUAAAGCUAGCUUUUUUCUUAUAGUGAAGUAAACAUUUUGCUUGUGCCUUGGAACUGGGCUAUAGCUUGAUUUCCCCAACUCCCUCCCUUUCAAGCAAGCCCAGUGCUGACUGUAGGCUUAAUGCUGGGUACUAAGCCUUUUUGGCUCUGAAAGCACACAGGAAAGUGCUAUUGGAAAACAGGCCUCUUGUCUUGAGUAGUUUUUCUUGGUGGUCCCCUCUUACCUAUCAGGCAAUUGAUCUGUUUCUUUUCUAAGGUCCUGAACUCUUGGUGAUUUUUAUACUGUUUGUUUAAUGACUGAGGCUUGUGUUUCAUUCCUACCCCUUUAUUAUGCAUUUAACUUUAUCAGGUGUAUCAAGUUUAAAUACUGUGUAUUUACCACUUUUAAAUUCUAUUACCUAAGAAAGAGAAAAAAAACAACCCAAAACAACCAAGUAAGUGUUUUUUCCACACAGCUGUUCAAGCUUCUCUGUAAAAGUUGAAAUAAAUGACAUGCAACCAAA